GGAGAGGUACCGAAGCGGUCAUAACGGGGCGGUCUUGAAAACCGUUAGGGCGCAAGCCCACAUGGGUUCGAAUCCCAUCCUCUCCG
RNAcentral lists this transfer RNA (86 nucleotides) under Paenibacillus sp. MY03. It matches the Rfam family "tRNA". From Rfam's summary of the family: Transfer RNA (tRNA) molecules are approximately 80 nucleotides in length. Lineage: Bacteria; Bacillati; Bacillota; Bacilli; Caryophanales; Paenibacillaceae. The record is from Rfam by way of RNAcentral.